RNAcentral lists this ribosomal RNA (254 nucleotides) under uncultured bacterium. Its description in RNAcentral is "partial 16S ribosomal RNA". It matches the Rfam family "Bacterial small subunit ribosomal RNA", at positions 524 to 776 of the family's 1533-position model. The record is from RNAcentral.
UACGUAGGGUGCGAGCGUUAAUCGGAAUUACUGGGCGUAAAGCGUGCGCAGGCGGCUAUGCAAGACAGAUGUGAAAUCCCCGGGCUCAACCUGGGAAUUGCAUUUGUGACUGCAUGGCUAGAGUACGGCAGAGGGGGAUGGAAUUCCGGCGUGUAGCAGUGAAAUGCGUAGAUAUCGAGAGGAACACCAGUGCGGAAGGCGAGUCCCUGGACAACACCUGACACUGAGGCACGAAAGCUAGGGGAGCAAACAGG